UCCAGUCUAUUUAUACUUGGGGAUGGAUGU
This 30-nucleotide non-coding RNA is filed under the name Mus musculus (house mouse). Lineage: Eukaryota; Metazoa; Chordata; Mammalia; Rodentia; Muridae. The record is from RNAcentral.